This 667-nucleotide ribosomal RNA is filed under the name Bacillus pumilus. Its description in RNAcentral is "partial 23S ribosomal RNA". It matches the Rfam family "Bacterial large subunit ribosomal RNA", at positions 1 to 662 of the family's 2925-position model. The record is from RNAcentral. Lineage: Bacteria; Bacillati; Bacillota; Bacilli; Caryophanales; Bacillaceae.
AUGGUUAAGUUAGAAAGGGCGCACGGUGGAUGCCUUGGCACUAGGAGCCGAUGAAGGACGGGACGAACACCGAUAUGCUUCGGGGAGCUGUAAGCAAGCUUUGAUCCGGAGAUUUCCGAAUGGGGAAACCCACUGCUCGUAAUGGAGUAGUAUCCAUACUUGAAUACAUAGAGUAUGAGAAGGCAUACCCGGGGAACUGAAACAUCUAAGUACCCGGAGGAAGAGAAAGCAAAUGCGAUUCCCUGAGUAGCGGCGAGCGAAACGGGAACAGCCCAAACCAAGAGGCUUGCCUCUUGGGGUUGUAGGACACUCUAUACGGAGUUACAAAGGAACGAUAUAAGCGAAGAGGUCUGGAAAGGCCCGCCAAAGAAGGUAACAGCCCUGUAACUGAAAUGUUGUUCUCUCCAGAGUGGAUCCUGAGUACGGCGGAACACGUGAAAUUCCGUCGGAAUCCGGGAGGACCAUCUCCCAAGGCUAAAUACUCCCUAGUGACCGAUAGUGAACCAGUACCGUGAGGGAAAGGUGAAAAGCACCCCGGAAGGGGAGUGAAAUAGAUCCUGAAACCGUGUGCCUACAAGUAGUCAGAGCCCGUUAAAGGGUGAUGGCGUGCCUUUUGUAGAAUGAACCGGCGAGUUACGAUCCCGUGCAAGGUUAAGCAGAAGAUGCG